UACGGAGGGUGCGAGCGUUGUCCGGAAUCAUUGGGCGUAAAGGGCGCGUAGGUGGCCCGGUCAGUCUUUGGUGAAAGCGCGGGGCUCAACCCUGCGUCGGCCAGGGAUACUGCCGCGGCUCGAGCACUGUAGAGGCAGGCGGAAUUCCGGGUGUAGCGGUGGAAUGCGUAGAGAUCCGGAAGAACACCGGUGGCGAAGGCAGGUCUCUGGGCCGAUACUGACGCUGAGGAGCGAAAGCGUGGGGAGCGAACAGG
RNAcentral lists this ribosomal RNA (254 nucleotides) under uncultured bacterium. Its description in RNAcentral is "partial 16S ribosomal RNA". It matches the Rfam family "Bacterial small subunit ribosomal RNA", at positions 524 to 776 of the family's 1533-position model. The record is from RNAcentral.